Molecule: ribosomal RNA, 484 nt
Filed under: uncultured bacterium
Lineage: Bacteria
Description: partial 16S ribosomal RNA
Rfam family: Bacterial small subunit ribosomal RNA
Source: RNAcentral
AUUGAACGCUGGCGGCAGGCCUAACACAUGCAAGUCGAGCGGAUGAAGGGAGCUUGCUCCUGGAUUCAGCGGCGGACGGGUGAGUAAUGCCUAGGAAUCUGCCUGGUAGUGGGGGAUAACGUCCGGAAACGGGCGCUAAUACCGCAUACGUCCUGAGGGAGAAAGUGGGGGAUCUUCGGACCUCACGCUAUCAGAUGAGCCUAGGUCGGAUUAGCUAGUUGGUGGGGUAAAGGCCUACUAAGGCGACGAUCCGUAACUGGUCUGAGAGGAUGAUCAGUCACACUGGAACUGAGACACGGUCCAGACUCCUACGGGAGGCAGCAGUGGGGAAUAUUGGACAAUGGGCGAAAGCCUGAUCCAGCCAUGCCGCGUGUGUGAAGAAGGUCUUCGGAUUGUAAAGCACUUUAAGUUGGGAGGAAGGGCAGUAAGUUAAUACCUUGCUGUUUUGACGUUACCAACGGAAUAAGCACCGGCUAACUUCGUG